This 64-nucleotide transfer RNA is filed under the name Prioninae sp. MJTNT-2012. RNAcentral's name for it is "tRNA-Arg". Lineage: Eukaryota; Metazoa; Arthropoda; Insecta; Coleoptera; Cerambycidae. The record is from RNAcentral.
AAAUAAGAAGCAAAUUAUUGCAUUUAGUUUCGACCUAAAAGUUAGAUGUCUUCAUCCUUAUUUU